UGGGGAAUAUUGCACAAUGGGCGCAAGCCUGAUGCAGCCAUGCCGCGUGUGUGAAGAAGGCCUUCGGGUUGUAAAGCACUUUCAGCGGGGAGGAAGGCGUUAAGGUUAAUAACCUUGGCGAUUGACGUUACCCGCAGAAGAAGCACCGGCUAACUCCGUGCCAGCAGCCGCGGUAAUACGGAGGGUGCAAGCGUUAAUCGGAAUUACUGGGCGUAAAGCGCACGCAGGCGGUCUGUCAAGUCGGAUGUGAAAUCCCCGGGCUCAACCUGGGAACUGCAUUCGAAACUGGCAGGCUAGAGUCUUGUAGAGGGGGGUAGAAUUCCAGGUGUAGCGGUGAAAUGCGUAGAGAUCUGGAGGAAUACCGGUGGCGAAGGCGGCCCCCUGGACGGAGACUGACGCUCAGGUGCGAAAGCGUGGGGAGCAAACAGG
This 429-nucleotide ribosomal RNA is filed under the name Chloroflexota bacterium. Its description in RNAcentral is "Chloroflexi bacterium partial 16S ribosomal RNA". It matches the Rfam family "Bacterial small subunit ribosomal RNA", at positions 355 to 776 of the family's 1533-position model. The record is from RNAcentral. Lineage: Bacteria; Bacillati; Chloroflexota.